Molecule: ribosomal RNA, 844 nt
Filed under: Streptomyces sp.
Lineage: Bacteria; Bacillati; Actinomycetota; Actinomycetes; Kitasatosporales; Streptomycetaceae
Description: bacterial SSU rRNA
Rfam family: Bacterial small subunit ribosomal RNA
Source: RNAcentral
AUUAGUGGCGAACGGGUGAGUAACACGUGGGCAAUCUGCCCUUCACUCUGGGACAAGCCCUGGAAACGGGGUCUAAUACCGGAUAAUACUUCCACUCGCAUGGGUGGGGGUUAAAAGCUCCGGCGGUGAAGGAUGAGCCCGCGGCCUAUCAGCUUGUUGGUGAGGUAAUGGCUCACCAAGGCGACGACGGGUAGCCGGCCUGAGAGGGCGACCGGCCACACUGGGACUGAGACACGGCCCAGACUCCUACGGGAGGCAGCAGUGGGGAAUAUUGCACAAUGGGCGAAAGCCUGAUGCAGCGACGCCGCGUGAGGGAUGACGGCCUUCGGGUUGUAAACCUCUUUCAGCAGGGAAGAAGCGAAAGUGACGGUACCUGCAGAAGAAGCGCCGGCUAACUACGUGCCAGCAGCCGCGGUAAUACGUAGGGCGCAAGCGUUGUCCGGAAUUAUUGGGCGUAAAGAGCUCGUAGGCGGUCUGUCGCGUCGGAUGUGAAAGCCCGGGGCUUAACCCCGGGUCUGCAUUCGAUACGGGCAGACUAGAGUGUGGUAGGGGAGAUCGGAAUUCCUGGUGUAGCGGUGAAAUGCGCAGAUAUCAGGAGGAACACCGGUGGCGAAGGCGGAUCUCUGGGCCAUUACUGACGCUGAGGAGCGAAAGCGUGGGGAGCGAACAGGAUUAGAUACCCUGGUAGUCCACGCCGUAAACGGUGGGAACUAGGUGUUGGCGACAUUCCACGUCGUCGGUGCCGCAGCUAACGCAUUAAGUUCCCCGCCUGGGGAGUACGGCCGCAAGGCUAAAACUCAAAGGAAUUGACGGGGGGCCCGCACAAGCAGCGGAAGCAUGUGGG